GAUGAACGCUAGCUACAGGCUUAACACAUGCAAGUCGAGGGGUAACGAGAGGGAAGCUUGCUUUCCUUGUCGACGACCGGCGCACGGGUGAGUAACGCGUAUCCAACCUGCCCCCAACUAGGGAAUAACCUUGCGAAAGUAAGACUAAUACCCUAUAAUUUCCUCAGAUGUCAUCUGACGAGGAAUAAAGAUUUAUCGGUUGUGGAUGGGGAUGCGUCUGAUUAGCUUGUUGGCGGGGUAACGGCCCACCAAAGCAACGAUCAGUAGGGGUUCUGAGAGGAAGGUCCCCCACAUUGGAACUGAGACACGGUCCAAACUCCUACGGGAGGCAGCAGUGAGGAAUAUUGGUCAAUGGGCGGAAGCCUGAACCAGCCAAGUAGCAUGCAGGAUGACGGCCCUAUGGGUUGUAAACUGCUUUUAUACAGGAAUAAAGUUAGCCACGUGUGGUUAUUUGUAGGUACUGUAUGAAUAAGGACCGGCUAAUUCCGUGCCAGCCGCCGCCGUAA
RNAcentral lists this ribosomal RNA (506 nucleotides) under uncultured bacterium. Its description in RNAcentral is "partial 16S ribosomal RNA". It matches the Rfam family "Bacterial small subunit ribosomal RNA", at positions 28 to 523 of the family's 1533-position model. The record is from RNAcentral.